UUAGGAAGGUGACCAUUUUCCCUGGGUCUGUCUGUAGAUGCACAUCAGUGCCAGCAAAGUCCAGUGGGGGAGGGUAAGAGAGAGAGAUUGAUUUUAGAAGCCAAUUCUAAAAUGUAUGGAAAAGUACAGAAAGGCUGGGAGCAGCCUAGACCCUCCUGAGGAGCAGGUGGACGGUGCAACAGCGGAUGGCGAAUGCGACGUGUUAUGGGGCCGCAGUUGCUCAGAGCACGAGGAGCUGCUGGCGGGGGGCUUGGCCACUGACCCACGAGGUAGGACACGGCCUGGGCACGGAGGGGGGCCUGUGCUCGUGCCCACGCACGCUGGAUGUGUGAUGAAGGGAGUGGCGUUGCAGGUUAUUGAGGGAAGGUUGGACUCUUGUUCUCGUGCCGGGAAAGUCAGGUGCCCACGUGGGAAAAAGGAAAGUAGACUCCCACGGCAUUCAGAUCCCCCCAGGUGGAUGCCCGGAGGGCAGCGCUUUUGACCCAGAGCCCCGGCCUGAUGACCUCACAGACAAGGCCCCCAAGAGCCUUUGCUGCAGCGGAAGUGGGUAACGUCAGCACACAUGACUUUGUUUCUCAGAAGAUGCGGGAGAGGGUGAAGGUGCGGUCAUUCAUAAAACUCACAGGAACUCAAAACCAGAAUAUGAAGGACUCUGAAUCAGCAAGAAAAAGAGGACUCCAAAGAAAAAUGGGUGGCACAGCUGAACAGGCGCCUCCCCACACACGGGGCAACACUCGAGAACACCACCGUGGGAUGCCGCUGUGCGCCCAUCAGGACAGCCCGGUUAGAACGACCGACAGCAUUGCGUGUCUGAGGACGUGGGGGCCGACAUGCCCGUGUGCUUCUGGGGGAGGGCACUACAGGAAGGCCCUGCACACGCUCUGGCGAAGGGUGCCCCUGCCUGCAGAGUUCUGGAAAACAGCCCAGGUGUCUGUCAGUGGGCAGAUAAAUACGUGGCAGCGUGGCCACGCCAGGAACGUGACACAGCCACAAACAUGCACGGACAAGGGUCACACGUGUAGUGAGGACGGAGUUUAGAACCGAGAUGGCAGGAAAGCAGCAAAUCAGAAGAACACACCAAGAAUAUUCCUUUUACAGACAGUUCGUGAACAGGCGAAGCUGCAGACUAUAGUAUCUAGGAGGCAUAUAAAGAGGUAAAAGAAAGCGGAGAUCCAGCAACCCCCCUUUUGGGUCAAUCUCCAGAGAAUUGGAAGCAGGAACAUGAAGAAAUACUGGCACACCCGUGUUCACAGGGGCCAAAGGGUGGAGGCCACCUGCGUGUCCGUCGACAGAUGGACAGAGAAGCGAAAUGUGUCCAUCCAUCCAGAGGAAAAUGAUUCAGCCUUAAAGAGGAAGGGGAGCCUGUUGCCCUUGACAGCACGGAUGAACCUCGAGGACGUUAUGCUAAAUGAAAUGAGUGUCACAAAAGGACAAGUACCAAUGGAAUGCGUAUUCCACUGGACUGGAAUUCCAAUGGUAAGAGACACCAGAGUCAUCAAAUUCACAGAGAAGAUAGACAGGCAUCUCCCGGGCUUGAGGGGAGGGGAUGGGGAGUCGGUGUUGAAUGGGGACAGAGCUGUAGUUUGGGAAGUUGGAAAAGUUCUGGAGAUGGAUGGUGGUGACAGCUGCACAGCCACGGGAAUGUUGUUGAUGCUCCUGAACCGGGUGCUUAAGAGUGGCAAGAAUGGUCAGUUAUGAGUGGUCAUAUAUGUUAUGUUACGUAUAUUUUAUCACAAUUAAAAAACUGAGGAAAAAAAUAAAGUCGGGAACAAUGAUAGGAAAGACAAGGAUGGUGUUCCUCUCUAGAGGGAGGGACGCAGAGGGCCCCUAGAGGGCUGAUAACAUUUGGCCUCUGAUUCAUAGUCACUUAGACACACGCACUUAUGCGCUUUCUCCUGUGAUAUGAUAUUCCAUGAUAAAAAUGGUAAAAAAAUUAAAACAAGCCAACAGGCACCCACCUCUGCCCG
This 1967-nucleotide long non-coding RNA is filed under the name Pongo abelii (Sumatran orangutan). RNAcentral describes it as "lincRNA". Lineage: Eukaryota; Metazoa; Chordata; Mammalia; Primates; Hominidae. The record is from RNAcentral.